Molecule: non-coding RNA, 94 nt
Organism: Microthyrium microscopicum
Lineage: Eukaryota; Fungi; Ascomycota; Dothideomycetes; Microthyriales; Microthyriaceae
Source: the annotation of a GenBank genome assembly
AGGAGAGUAGUACAGUGGUAGUACUUACGAUCUCGCGGUAGGCCCUACUUACUUAAGAAUCCGUAGGGCACAGGUUCGAUUCCCGUCUCCCCCG